CCUACGGGGGGCAGCAGUGAGGAAUAUUGGUCAAUGGACGAGAGUCUGAACCAGCCAAGUAGCGUGAAGGAUGACUGCCCUAUGGGUUGUAAACUUCUUUUAUAUGGGAAUAAAACGUUCCACGUGUGGGAUUUUGUAUGUACCAUAUGAAUAAGGAUCGGCUAACUCCGUGCCAGCAGCCGCGGUAAUACGGAUGAUCCGAGCGUUAUCCGGAUUUAUUGGGUUUAAAGGGAGCGUAGGUGGAUUGUUAAGUCAGUUGUGAAAGUUUGCGGCUCAACCGUAAAAUUGCAGUUGAAAAUGGCAGUCUUGAGUACAGUAGAGGUGGGCGGAAUUCGUGGUGUAGCGGUGAAAUGCUUAGAUAUCACGAAGAACUCCGAUUGCGAAGGCAGUUCACUGGACUGCAACUGACACUGAGGCUCGAAAGUGUGGGUAUCAAACAGGAUUAGAUACCCCGGUAGUC
RNAcentral lists this ribosomal RNA (460 nucleotides) under uncultured bacterium. RNAcentral describes it as "partial 16S ribosomal RNA". It matches the Rfam family "Bacterial small subunit ribosomal RNA", at positions 338 to 795 of the family's 1533-position model. The record is from RNAcentral.